UGACUGUACAAAGGUAGCAUAAUCAUUAGUUUUUUAAUUGAAAGCUUGUAUGAAUGGUUUUAUGAAGUAUAAUCUGUUUCAAUAAAAAUGAUGAAUUUUAUUUUUUAGUUAAAAAGCUAAAAUUUAUUUAUUGGACGAGAAGACCCCAUAAAGUUUAAUAUUUAAAUUUAAAUAAUUAAAAUAUUUUAUAUUUAUUUAUUUUAUUGGGGAGAUAAUAAAAUUUAAAUAACUUUUAUUUAUUUUUACAUAAAUUAAUGAAUAUUUGAUUUAUUAAUAAUAAUUAAAAAAUUAAAUUACUUUGGGGAUAACAGCAUAAUUUUUUUUUUAAGUUCGUAUUUAUAAAAAAGAUUGUGACCUCGAUGUUGGAUUAAAAUUUAAAUUAGGUGUAGAAGUUUAAUUUUUUUAGUCUGUUCGAUCAUUAAAAUCUUA
This 429-nucleotide ribosomal RNA is filed under the name Chetoneura guangxiensis. RNAcentral's name for it is "partial 16S ribosomal RNA". The record is from RNAcentral. Lineage: Eukaryota; Metazoa; Arthropoda; Insecta; Diptera; Keroplatidae.